UACGUAGGGGGCGAGCGUUGUCCGGAUUUAUUGGGCGUAAAGAGCUCGUAGGCGGCUUGGCAAGUCGGGUGUGAAACCUCCAGGCUCAACCUGGAGACGCCACUCGAUACUGCCAUGGCUAGAGUCCGGUAGGGGACCACGGAAUUCCUGGUGUAGCGGUGAAAUGCGCAGAUAUCAGGAGGAACACCGGUGGCGAAGGCGGUGGUCUGGGCCGGCACUGACGCUGAGGCGCGAAAGCGUGGGGAGCAAACGGG
This 254-nucleotide ribosomal RNA is filed under the name uncultured bacterium. RNAcentral describes it as "partial 16S ribosomal RNA". It matches the Rfam family "Bacterial small subunit ribosomal RNA", at positions 524 to 776 of the family's 1533-position model. The record is from RNAcentral.